GCUAGCAGUGCAGGUUGAUUAGGGAUAAUUUCAUUAACGGUCACUACGCUUAUCACUGGUUUUAAUUCUACUCUACUCUAAUUCUUUGCAUAGAAGAAUUUGACAUUAUUAAUAUUUCAAUAAGGUUGCAUAAUUUCUGUAGAUAUUUGGUUGAAUUUUACAUGAUAGCGAAAUAAUGAAGUAUUAUAGUCGUACAACGAUAUACACAAAAUUUUACUUGAUUGCUAGGUCAAAAUUCUAGCUAAAUUUCUAUUGGAUUUUGGCAAUAGUGACCUAAUUAAAACAAAAACGGAAGUUGAUUGAUUCUUUUAUGAGACAAAUUGAAGUUAGGUGACUAUAGUCUUAUUUGAAAUUGAGUUGUAAGUCUAGUGAGCAUGGAUAAAAUUAAGCCUAUGGUUGACAUAAAAUAAUUGUAGCUAGAUGUUUUUGUUAGAGAUUUGGGGAGCCUGCCUAGGGAGAAUAUUUUUUGAAGGGCCUUGUGAAAAAACACACUUUUGGGCUUGACACCACAUUCAACCUAAAAUCUUAAGCAAAUGGGUGUAUGGGUCAUUCCCACUUAUACGUAUCUCACUCAUCCCAUUUUUUUCCGAUGUGAAAAUGUCAUACUUACGUAUUCCUAACAAUCUCUCCCUCAAGUGUGAAUCUCUUCUACAUUGGAUUUAUUGGGCCUGCUCCCCCUCGAAUGGAAAUUUUUUCUUGAGUAUUACGGUACCACCAAAAGCUCCAACUACUCCACCAAGCCUACUCGAGCAUGCACUUCUAAGAGCUACGCCAGAGCCAUCACGUGUACCAAGAGUCUUCACUCCAUCGGUCUGUUUUUCUCCAAAAGAAUGCUUUCCUACUCCAUUGGGCCUACCGGGAGUCUCUGACUCUUCUAUUCAUGUGUCAGACCACCACAGGAAUCAUCGACUACCGUUUUCAUACUCAUCCUUUUGAUACCUUUUGAUAGAGAUUUGAGGAGCUUAAAGCGCCUGAGGAGAAUAUUUCUUGAUGGGCCUUGUGAAAAAAAAAAAACACUCAUGAGUUUAACACUGCAUCCAACUCAAAACCUUAAAACAAUGUGUCUAUGGGUCAUUUCUGCUUGUAUGUCUCUUUUUUUCUAAUGUAGAAAUUUCGCACUUGCAUAUUCCCAACAGUUUCCUGACAUGUCAUGCUAAUAUCUGUAUCUCUCUUAAAGCUUAAUCCUAAUUGUAGAUAUUGAGUUGAUGUACUUCUGUUGCAACUUUGAAUAUCUUUGCCUUGAUGUUA
RNAcentral lists this unclassified non-coding RNA (1248 nucleotides) under Hevea brasiliensis (rubber tree). Lineage: Eukaryota; Viridiplantae; Streptophyta; Magnoliopsida; Malpighiales; Euphorbiaceae. The record is from RNAcentral.